RNAcentral lists this ribosomal RNA (491 nucleotides) under uncultured bacterium. RNAcentral describes it as "partial 16S ribosomal RNA". It matches the Rfam family "Bacterial small subunit ribosomal RNA", at positions 29 to 506 of the family's 1533-position model. The record is from RNAcentral.
AGUGAACGCUGGCGGUAGGCCUAACACAUGCAAGUCGAACGGCAGCACAGUAAGAGCUUGCUCUUACGGGUGGCGAGUGGCGGACGGGUGAGGAAUACAUCGGAAUCUACUUUUUCGUGGGGGAUAACGUAGGGAAACUUACGCUAAUACCGCAUACGACCUACGGGUGAAAGCAGGGGAUCUUCGGACCUUGCGCGAUUGAAUGAGCCGAUGUCGGAUUAGCUAGUUGGCGGGGUAAAGGCCCACCAAGGCGACGAUCCGUAGCUGGUCUGAGAGGAUGAUCCGCCAAACUGGAACUGAGACACGGUCCAGACCCCUACGGGAGGCAGGAGGGGGGAAUAUUGGACAAUGGGCGCAAGCCUGAUCCAGCCAUACCGCGUGGGUGAAGAAGGCCUUCGGGUUGUAAAGCCCUUUUGUUGGGAAAGAAAAGCAGCAGGUUAAUACCCCGCUGUUCUGACGGUACCCAAAGAAUAAGCACCGGCUAACUUCGG